RNAcentral lists this ribosomal RNA (156 nucleotides) under uncultured bacterium. RNAcentral's name for it is "partial 16S ribosomal RNA". It matches the Rfam family "Bacterial small subunit ribosomal RNA", at positions 355 to 509 of the family's 1533-position model. The record is from RNAcentral.
UGGGGAAUAUUGCACAAUGGGCGCAAGCCUGAUGCAGCGACGCCGCGUGCGGGAUGGAGGCCUUCGGGUUGUAAACCGUCUUUUGUUCAAGGGCAAGGCACGGUCUUUGGCCGUGUUGAGUGGAUUGUUCGAAUAAGCACCGGCUAACUACGUGCC